GGCAUGUCGAUCAACUGUACCGCUAUUCAGUGUUGUUUACAAAUCCAAAUGGAAGGUUCAUCAAAUUUAACGCAUUUGACUUGUGCAUGGAUCUGCGAUGCUGUAGGUCUUCAAAAAGAAGUCGGCAUGGACUGACAAGGUCAUAAAGGUGGUCAAGAAAUAAAUUGCCAACAGACAGCAGCAUUCCUUGAUUUAGAUGAAUUUCUCUUCAUGUCCUCUCCUGAAUGAUUUUCCAUGAUGCCUCAGGGUUAGGAUUGGGAUGCAAGAUGUACAGUACAUAUAUAUGAUGUCUAUGGGUACAUUGCUGUAAUGGCCUGAAAAAUCUUUUGCGAAACCGAGAAAUGUUCAUCUUCCAUUGCCAUGAUUGUGUAAAAGGACGAGCAGAGGAAUGAUUCAAAAAUAUAUGGCAGGAUUGAGAAUCUAACCCAUGACCCGUAGUCUGGUACUCUACCCACUGAUCAAUCCAUGCUGAUGGUCCAUCUGCUACAUUGAUGUCAUCUUAUAUAUUUAUUUAUUCAUUUAUAUAUCAUAUGGACAUUUAAAAAUUGACAGUAAAAUAAAAAAAAGUUUGAUAUUCAGCAAAAUAGAAUUUGUUACAAUACAUGUUUAAGAAAUUAAGUACAUGUACAUGCAUUGUUAUGCAUACAAUUAUGUACAUGUAAUUAUAUUUGUUAAUAGAUAAAUUUUUAGAUGAAUUUUCAUGUUGUUAUUGAUAUUGACAUGUACAUGUAUUACUUCCAUUUCUAGAAUGAUUUUAACAUCUUGAUAUUAAAAUGAUGACAUAAUAAAUAAAUCUUAAAUAUU
Long non-coding RNA from Ostrea edulis (European flat oyster), 804 nucleotides. RefSeq lists it as uncharacterized. Lineage: Eukaryota; Metazoa; Mollusca; Bivalvia; Ostreida; Ostreidae. The record is from RefSeq and is a predicted model, not a curated record. The transcript has 3 exons.